UAACGCGUGGGAACGUACCCUUUCACUACGGAAUAGUCCCGGGAAACUGGGUUUAAUACCGUAUACGCCCUUCGGGGGAAAGAAUUUCGGUGAGGGAUCGGCCCGCGUUAGAUUAGUUAGUUGGUGGGGUAAUGGCCUACCAAGACUACGAUCUAUAGCUGGUUUGAGAGGAUGAUCAGCAACACUGGGACUGAGACACGGCCCAGACUCCUACGGGAGGCAGCAGUGGGGAAUCUUAGACAAUGGGGGCAACCCUGAUCUAGCGAUGCCGCGUGAGUGAUGAAGGCCUUAGGGUCGUAAAGCUCUUUCGCCUGUGAUGAUAAUGACAGUAGCAGGUAAAGAAACCCCGGCUAACUCCGUGCCAGCAGCCGCGGUAAUACGGAGGGGGUUAGCGUUGUUCGGAAUUACUGGGCGUAAAGCGCACGUAGGCGGAUUAGUCAGUCAGAGGUGAAAUCCCAGGGCUCAACCCUGGAACUGCCUUUGAUACUGCUAGUCUUGAGUUCGAGAGAGGUAAGUGGAAUUC
Molecule: ribosomal RNA, 523 nt
Filed under: Celeribacter sp.
Lineage: Bacteria; Pseudomonadati; Pseudomonadota; Alphaproteobacteria; Rhodobacterales; Roseobacteraceae
Description: bacterial SSU rRNA
Rfam family: Bacterial small subunit ribosomal RNA
Source: RNAcentral